Molecule: ribosomal RNA, 508 nt
Filed under: uncultured bacterium
Lineage: Bacteria
Description: partial 16S ribosomal RNA
Rfam family: Bacterial small subunit ribosomal RNA
Source: RNAcentral
AUUGAACGCUGGCGGCAUGCCUUACACAUGCAAGUCGAACGGCAGCGGGGGAGAAGCUUGCUUUUCCUGCCGGCGAGUGGCGAACGGGUGAGUAAUACAUCGGAACGUGCCCUGUAGUGGGGGAUAACUAGUCGAAAGAUUAGCUAAUACCGCAUACGACCUGAGGGUGAAAGUGGGGGACCGCAAGGCCUCAUGCUAUAGGAGCGGCCGAUGUCUGAUUAGCUAGUUGGUGGGGUAAAGGCCUACCAAGGGGACGAUCAGUAGCUGGUCUGAGAGGACGAUCAGCCACACGGGGACUGGGACACGGCCCAGACUCCUACGGGAGGCAGCAGUGGGGAAUUUUGGACAAUGGGCGAAAGCCUGAUCCAGCAAUGCCGCGUGUGUGAAGAAGGCCUUCGGGUUGUAAAGCACUUUUGUCCGGAAAGAAAUGGCUCUGGUUAAUACCUGGGGUCGAUGACGGUACCGGAAGAAUAAGGACCGGCUAACUACGUGCCAGCCGCCGCCGUAA